GACGAACGCUGGCGGCGUGCUUAACACAUGCAAGUCGAACGGUAAGGCCCUUUCGGGGGUACACGAGUGGCGAACGGGUGAGUAACACGUGGGUGAUCUGCCCUGCACUUUGGGAUAAGCCUGGGAAACUGGGUCUAAUACCGGAUAGGACUACGCGAUGCAUGUCGUGUGGUGGAAAGCUUUUGCGGUGUGGGAUGGGCCCGCGGCCUAUCAGCUUGUUGGUGGGGUGAUGGCCUUCCAAGGCGACGACGGGUAGCCGGCCUGAGAGGGUGUCCGGCCACACUGGGACUGAGAUACGGCCCAGACUCCUACGGGAGGCAGCAGUGGGGAAUAUUGCACAAUGGGCGCAAGCCUGAUGCAGCGACGCCGCGUGGGGGAUGACGGCCUUCGGGUUGUAAACCCCUUUCAGCACAGACGAAGCGUAAGUGACGGUAUGUGCAGAAGAAGCACCGGCCAACUACGUG
RNAcentral lists this ribosomal RNA (464 nucleotides) under uncultured bacterium. RNAcentral describes it as "partial 16S ribosomal RNA". It matches the Rfam family "Bacterial small subunit ribosomal RNA", at positions 28 to 507 of the family's 1533-position model. The record is from RNAcentral.